Non-coding RNA from Cyanistes caeruleus (blue tit), 6245 nucleotides. The record is from RefSeq and is a predicted model, not a curated record. Lineage: Eukaryota; Metazoa; Chordata; Aves; Passeriformes; Paridae.
CCAACUCUGGCAUUUGUCACUCUCUCUUUGGCUUUCCAGAGGACAUUCACUUCCAGCUACUCCAGUAUCAGAUCUGCAAUGAUGUGACUGACUGGAGCUGUAACUGACUCAUUCACAGGCCAAGGACGACUGCCAAAGACAGUGCUCACCACAGAUUUGUGUUUUUCUUCUUGUAAGCAAGAACUGGAUGAGAGGAGAGGAUUUAGAAGCUGAUGACAGCAGAAUGGUGACUGACCACGCUUUGACUCCUCAGAGAGGGCUGUCUCUUCACUAGCUGCUAGGAAACCCUAGGAGACUGUCCAGUUCCACAGCUGCAAGAGCAGCAGGCGCUGGAGUCAGAUGAGUCCAGAGAAGAGACUUUGCUAAAGGCUGGCCAAGAAACCAAGCCACAGGCAGAGACACUGAUUGUGCCGUACUGGGGCUUCUUAACAGUUUGAUGUCUGUGGAACAGAUGGCUGAACAGAAUGAGUUACUGAUGCAGAUGCAAAGUUGACACAGAACCAUCUCCAGGCUCUGAUAAUAAAGAUGGAUGGCUCUGGGAGGGAAAGUUCACACAACAGUGUAUCUUAUCAGCACACUGUACACCCUAAAACUUUGACAUUUCAGCUUGUUCUCAAAAAAGAUGGUUUUUCUUUGCUAUUAUGCUUAUUUUAUUUAUUUUGCUACUGGUCUUUUCAUGGCAACUGCAGAUUGAAGAAAUUUAACCAUAAAGUUUAGUUGUAAUAAUAUAAAAACACUACUUGCAAGACUAGUUAAAACCAGCUUCACCAUGCAGGACUUUAAAACACCCUCCCUAUUAACCAGACUCAUUCCUGCUCUAUCUUUGCCUUCAGCUUGGCCUUUUGGGAGAGCAGGUCCAUAUACUAACAUGUAACUCACAAAUGAUCAUCACCACUGAUCGUAUUAUCUUGAAAUCUAUGCAUUGAUGCCAACAGGAGUUUCAUAAAGUAUCUCAGAUGCUUUUUCUUGUUUCUGUUCUCUGCAGUCCACUGGGCAGUCUGUCAUGAGGUGGUAGCUCAUGUCUGAGGUAUGUUUUUUAACUCUUGCUAGGUUUUCUUUCAUUGGCGCACACACACACUUGACUGCUUGUACUAAACCACUUCGUGCUCUUUUCUCAUUUCCCGUAGUUACAAGACUUACACACAGGAGUUAUCAUUGAAGACAGUGGGAAAUUAGCACAAAACCAGGUCUCACUUCUUCCUCACUUCUUAUUAUGAUUAUUAAUUCAUAACUGUUACUAUGUUCUUUGCUAUUGUAACUUUCUCUUUUAGUAUUCAUAUGCUGUGAAGCCAGACCUCUCCCAGUGCAACCAUAGCUGCACUGAAGCUGGUGCUACAAUUUGGCUCAGCAGGAAGUGGUGGAGCCCUGAGCUGCUCUCAGGGAACGCAGCUGCUGAGUAGGAAAAAGAAUGGUUUUUAUUCUGAGCUCUUAAGCAACAGCCAGAAACAAGUAAGGGCCUACAAAGGAGAAGUCAAAAGUAAUCUUGUGACAGGUUACAUAAAGCGAACAUUUGUGGUUCCAAUUGGCAAAUGGAAACCAGAAAAAGCUUUCUGCAGCGGACUCCUUAAAUAAGCAAUAUGGAUUUGUCACAGCCAGCAGUCCUUUCACUGAAGGGUGGGUUGAUGCUUCUGGCUGGAAUCAGCCCAGUGAGAAACUCCUCGUGGUGUGCUGCUGGCUCUCCACGUUCCCUUUGGACAAGGCAAGUCCCUCCAGCUGAGCCCAGACACUCUCAUCGCUCAGGAUGCAUUAACUCUUGCCACAGUGACACCUGGGUCAGGCCCCGUGUGAGGCUUCCCAACACGGAUGUUUGUGCUCGGACAAAGUCCAUGUCAUUCGUCGCAGCCCUGUCGGUCUCUGGUGCUCCCGUUCAGCAUUUGCCCGAACGGUGGCAGCGAUGGAGAGGGACAUCUGCCGCGGCCCUGGCACAGGUGUCACACAGCUCCACGUCCCUGGGUACCACCGCGAGUUACUCUCGCACGGGCUCGCGAAGCGGUCGGGAAGGGAGGGCCCAGUCCAGCCCAGGACCGAUUUCGCUCGCAGUUGCCCCUGUGCAGCUUCUGGAGCAUUUCCCCACGGCUGUGGCUCUCCCCCGUGGGGACGGCGUUCCCCACAUCCGUCUCUCGCAGGCCCAAGGCUCUCUUGGCUGCAGCGACCAAAGUGCGUGGCACGAGCGCGUCUUUCCUCUCCAGAGGCCAUUGUGCUUACAGACUGUGACAGUCUCGCCAUCAGCACCCCUUCAGCCAUACAUUGGAGCACAGUUCUGCAAGGCUCUACGACCCGAGUAAAACAUUUCUCUUCUUGCCGGUGCUUCUUUGUGAAAGACUGUGAAGGCCGCGCCUCGGGCCCGCCAUGGCGCGGGGCAGCAGCGCCCCCUGCCGGACACCCAGCGCCAUCAAACUCCCCCGGCCUUCUCCCGUGCACGCACCAGGUUAUCUCAGACCCCGAAUAUUUUAAGUCCUGUACACAUUUGUAUGAGAAAAAGGCCCAGGAGCCCAUAAAUAAGCAGAAUUAAACUUGUUCUAUAGAAAAUCUUGGGCCACACAAUUUUGGUUUGAAAUAGAAGUGUGAAGUGUGACUACUAGAAAUGCUGCUUGCUGCACCAGGCAGAGGUGAGGGGAGGACUAGGCAGCCAAUGUGUAAAAUUUUAACAUAAAUAUACUGAGCUAUUGUUACAUUGGUAAUAUGAGUAAAUAUUAAUAAGUUUAAUUUCACAAAUGGAAAUAUCGGUAUAAAAUUGUUUCCCUUAUGUCACAUGGGGACUUAGUAACUGACCUGAGAUUUCAGUUCAGGCAUUACAGAUAAUAUUUGUGGUGAAUGUGUCUACCCACCUAAAGUUUAUGAAAAGAGGGUUUUUCUUAUUGUGUAGAUAGUCAUUGUAAAGAAAUAUCCAUUAAAAUAUCAACAUGCAUUACUCAAAUAUUAUACUCUUGAAGAAAUAUGCUCAAAUCUUGAAGUGGGUAGCUGGAGUUUUAGAGGUCCUGGUGACAAGAUUGUCACAGUCUGUAAUCACAACAGCUUCUGAAGAGAAAAUGCAUGCUCUUGCCAUGUACUUGGACACUAAGUUACAUUUUCAUAGGCACAUUCUUUGUACAACUUUCAGUUCUGCCUCUAAGAGGAUAUCCUCUGGUGUUGAAAAGCAAAGGAGAUGUCCUUUGGGGAUGCUUUCCCAAGGAAUAUCCAGUCUAUCACUUUUACUGAUACCUUUUUUUUUAUUAUUGUGGUAUACCUUUCCUGUGAUACAUUUUUACUCUCACUCCAUGGCCAGCUUGGGCAUGGAGAAUAUUUUUCUACCUUCCUUUUUAUCCACUUCUUUGCAGAAGCCCUUUAUCUAUUAGAAGACAUUUUAUCCUCCUCUAUUUUCUUUUUUCUUGAAAAUUUCCUUGUUCUGUCUUACCUCAUGAGUCCUAUUGUACCUGCUCUGGCUGCAAUCUUGAGAGUCUUCAGCCCAAGAAGUAUCCCCUUCCCUUCCCUUCCCUUCCCUUCCCUUCCCCCUUUUGAUCUUUCCACCAUUCCUCCUUCCUGUCACAGCUGCCACACUUUCUCAAACUUGUUGGAUUUCCUUGGGCUCCCCUGAAUGGCAGAGGUUGGUAGGGGACAGGAUGCUCACCCCAGUGUGGAAGGAUCUGGAAGAUAAAAUGUUUCUUAGACCAGUUCUAAACAUUUUUUCCUCAUUUAUUUUGCUUCUAAGGGCUUUCUGCAUUUGGCUGUAUCUUUCAGACACACUUGGAAAGGGUUUCAAAUGGAAUCUAGUUUUUUUUUCAGUGUCCCAGCCAGCUGUUUAGAAUAGAGAUCCAGAAUUUUUGAAUGUACUUGGAAUUUUCUGUACUUUUAUGUACAGUUUGUGGAUAAGACUAAGUGUGACAGACUUAAAGGGCUUGAAAAGUGAUUGAAAACCAAGUUUUGAAUUUAAUAUGAUUUGAUAAAUCAGUGUACAAAAAAUCAGCAAGCUGAAGUUAAAGAAGAAAAUGUCACUCUAAGAAAAAUAUAUGAAAGAUGCCCAACACAGUUUUUAUUGUCUCUAUAAGUGUUUGUCUUGAAUUUGCAAGACAUCCUUAUGCCAUUACUAAUAAGAUGAAAAAAUGUUAUAUAGAAGCUACUUUUUAGCCCUACAAUAUAAAAGUUGUAGCUUGAUGAAGGUAUCAGUGUUGACAUUGGACAGUAUUUUCCUAAAUAAGAACAUGUUAUAUUUGGUUGGGGUAUGCUAUUGCAACGAGGUACUCUAGAAGCCCUGCCCUAAUAGUUGUACAUUUAAUUGUAUCUGAGUCACAAGAUCUGCUGUGACCAGCAGUUUGUACUUUGUCCUGGAACACAGCACAUAGCCUGAGGAGAUACAUACAUAUUAUCUUUUUAGGUGGAGCAGGAUUUCCAACAUGCUGGUAUUUGCAUUUCAUGUUUAACUGAACUGCGAUACAGAUUUAUACUCGAAUUAUAUACUCCUUAGACAUCUUAUCCUUUAUUUGUCUUCUUUGCUUCUUGUCUGUUGUAUAUUUACCACAGAUUCUAAUCAAGAAAUGAUCCUCUGCUUUUAUUUCCUCAUUAUUUUAUGACACAGCACAACUGUCAUUUUCCAUUGCAAGGCUGCAUCAGUUUAAUUUCUUAUCCUUAAAAUCUGUCUAUUAAGUGUUUGGAAACUUCUGCCACAGUUCUGUCUCUUUCUACAAAAGAAAAGGCAGUCUCCACAGAAAGGCAGUGACAGAAGCUCUUUUGGAAGAGCUGGGCUCAUUUCAUACACUCGCGAGUCUUUAUGAAGGACUACUUGUUGAGAAAAGCAUUUCUGUACAAACUGACAUGCACUUUUAUAUUGUCAGCCAGUGUUAAAAUUGGGUACUGAACACUGAAGUUUUUAGAAGAUGCCAAUGAACAACAUUCUGAAGUUUUUUGUGUGUGAGUAGAGAAUAUACUCAAAAAUACAUCAUGACUGACUGUUCAAGGGCACUAAAAAAAAUACUUGGUUGGAUGCAAAAGUAUUCUCAAUACAAACAUUUAUCUGCCUAGAAAGUAGCUUCUUUUAGUCAGGAAGCCUCUUGCAGGACACAGCAUUGAGGAAACAGUCCCCCUUGAAAUGUACAAGUCACAUGGGACAUGAUCAAUUUGCACAUCAGUCAGAAAGUUAAUGUUCACUAGCAUUAGCUCCUUUCCCUUUCUCCUUCUCACUGUCCCAGCAUAGUUCCCAGAAACUCCUGCCAUGUCCUGUGGGAAGCUGCUGGCCUCUAGCUCCCAGAAAAAGGUAUGAUGUAAAUGCAUUGAUAGGACCAUACUGGUGACAGAUUUCCAAAGGAAUCGUGCUAACACUGAAGAAAGUCCAUAGAAAAUACCUGAUUGUAUCUUAGCUGAGUAAAGCAAAAAGUAAUAAAAAAAGAAUAGAGCUACUUUGAGAAGUGUUUUAAUCUGACAUCAUAAAAUAAUGAGGUGUUCCCUUUUCAAGACUCAGUUUUCUAUAGGUAAAGCAUGGAUGGAGGUACAUGCAAAGUAUUGUGCUUGUAUUUUGCCGUCAUAUCUUGCUUAGCUAGCCAUGCAUGUUUAAGGAGAUGAUUAAUGGAAGCAUACAUUCCUGUUACAAUAACAUGAACUGACUGUGUUGUAAUUGCUAGUGUUGUUUUUGCUGAUAUCUACCUACUAAUCAUUUCUCUCCCCAGCUCACAGAAUCACAGCAUGUCAGACUGGAAAGCACCUCUUGAGAUCAUCUGGUCCAACUCUUGCACAAAGCAGCAUCUCAGGAAAAUCUCAUUCCCUAUCUAUUAUACCAAUUAAUCUUUGUAAUAUAAAAUGAUACUGACUUUCUUUAGAACAUAUGUAUAGUUUACAUUGGACACUGAACUGUCAUGCUUAAGCAAGCAAACUAAAGAACCCCAUCUUAUUGUGAGGAGGAUGACCUGGUUCCCCAGAUAAGGACUUUUCUUCUUGGAAUUUUAAUCACUGUCCAUGAAGAAUAAAAUAUACUCCUGGGCAACCAAGAUAAUCCCAGCACUCUAGCCUCUCUAACAUGUGCUUGAAACCCUCCCAGCGUCUGUCACUAUAGAUAAGUAAAUAUAUCAGGACUGACUCUGGGUGCAUCUGAUCAAUAGAGAAGCAGGUGGAUGAUGACACCAUAGAAAUGUAGUUGCUUUGCGAAGUUUUACUAUGAUAAGUAAAUACUAAUGUGUGUUUGUUAAGCAGCAGUAAGUGAAAUGCGCACCUGAAUGCCUGCCCUGCUUUGAACAGGACACCUCAUGUGCAUGAAUAAAAGAGCUAUGCUGUAAUUCUAA